Molecule: microRNA, 22 nt
Filed under: Human betaherpesvirus 5
Lineage: Duplodnaviria; Heunggongvirae; Peploviricota; Herviviricetes; Herpesvirales; Orthoherpesviridae
Description: hcmv-miR-US25-1*
Source: RNAcentral
GAGCACUUUCCGCGGCGCUUGG